Molecule: ribosomal RNA, 499 nt
Filed under: uncultured bacterium
Lineage: Bacteria
Description: partial 16S ribosomal RNA
Rfam family: Bacterial small subunit ribosomal RNA
Source: RNAcentral
GAUGAACGCUGGCGGCGUGCCUAAUACAUGCAAGUCGAGCGAACAGACGAGAGUGCUUGCACUCUCUGACGUUAGCGGCGGACGGGUGAGUAACACGUGGGUAACCUACCUAUAAGACUGGGAUAACUUCGGGAAACCGGAGCUAAUACCGGAUAAUAUUUAGCUUCGCAUGAAGCAAUAGUGAAAGACGGUUCUGCUGUCACUUAUAGAUGGACCCGCGGUGUAUUAGCUAGUUGGCGGGGUAACGGCUCACCAAGGCAACGAUACAUAGCCGACCUGAGAGGGUGAUCGGCCACACUAGGACUGAGACACGGCCCAGACUCCUACGGGAGGCAGCAGUAGGGAAUCUUCCGCAAUGGACGAAAGUCUGACGGAGCAAUGCCGCGUGAGUGAAGAAGGUUUUCGGAUCGUAAAACUCUGUUGUAAGGGAAGAACAAGUACGUUAGUAACUGAACGUACCUUGACGGUACCUUACCAGAAAGCCACGGCUAACUACGUG